GCGCCCGUAGCUCAGCUGGAUAGAGCGCUGCCCUCCGAAGGCAGAGGUCAGAAGUUCGAAUCUUCUCGGGCGCGCCA
RNAcentral lists this transfer RNA (77 nucleotides) under Rugositalea oryzae. Its description in RNAcentral is "Rhodoplanes sp. Z2-YC6860 tRNA-Arg". It matches the Rfam family "tRNA". Rfam says of the family: Transfer RNA (tRNA) molecules are approximately 80 nucleotides in length. RNAcentral also lists the same sequence under 2 other names. The record is from RNAcentral. Lineage: Bacteria; Pseudomonadati; Pseudomonadota; Alphaproteobacteria; Hyphomicrobiales; Nitrobacteraceae.